AAUAUUGGACAAUGGGGGCAACCCUGAUCCAGCCAUGCCGCGUGUGUGAAGAAGGUCUNCGGAAUNUNAAGCACUUUAAGUCGGGNGGAAGGGCUUUAGGUUAAUACCUUGAAGUUUUGACGUUACCAACAGAAUAAGCACCGGCUAACUCUGUGCCAUCAGCCGCGGUAAUACAUAGGGUGCAAGCGUUCAUCGGAAUUACUGGGCGGAAAGCGCGCGUAGGUGGUUCAGUAAGAUGGGUGUGAAAUCCCCGGGCUUAACCUAGGAACUGCUUUCAUAACUGCUGAGCUAGAGUACGGUAGAGGGUAGUGGAAUUUCCUGUGUAGCGGUGAAAUGCGUAGAUAUAGGAAGGAACAUCAGUGGCGAAGGCGACUACCUGGACUGAUACUGACACUGAGGUGCGAAAGCGUGGGGAGCAAACA
Molecule: ribosomal RNA, 422 nt
Filed under: uncultured bacterium
Lineage: Bacteria
Description: partial 16S ribosomal RNA
Rfam family: Bacterial small subunit ribosomal RNA
Source: RNAcentral